This 1627-nucleotide long non-coding RNA is filed under the name Lytechinus variegatus (green sea urchin). RNAcentral's name for it is "uncharacterized LOC121430733". Lineage: Eukaryota; Metazoa; Echinodermata; Echinoidea; Temnopleuroida; Toxopneustidae. The record is from RNAcentral.
GAUGGAUGGAGUAUCAAGUGGACGUCCUAGUGAACGAGCGAGCGACCAAACAAAUAGACAAAAAAUGGAGGAUCAAUCAGCUAUUUCGUUUUCCAUCAUGCAGACAACAAGGAGGGAACGGGUGGGUAAAACAAGAAAUCUUCUAUUCGUCCUCGUGGUUUCUUUCUUAUUUCUUUUUUGGUUUGUCUUUUUUUCCUGCUCUGUCAAGAAGGAGACGGGAAAAGAAGAGAGGCAAAAGUGAUACUAUAAGGAAAGCAUUCUUUAAACGAAUAGAAGCGAAGAAACGAACAAAGAGGCACUUCAUAGAAAAUAAAAUAAAAUAAAUAAAUAGAUGAAUUGAAAAUGAAAAAAGCCUACAACACCCGGUACUCCCAGCGAAUGUUUCGGCCUGGUACUAGAGCUGGCCGAUUUCUUGGCCAACUGUCCAAUCACUAUGCCUCGUCAGCCGGCUGAGUUGGCCAUCAGAGCUCUCUCAUUGGCCUAAUGGCGAUCACUGAGAAUGUGGGCGUCGCCAGAGUUGGCCAACAGACCAAUCACGUUGUCUCGUUGUCCGACUGGACAUGAAUAUUUAUGAUUACCUCACCGCUACGUCACCGUAAAAUAUGAAUAUUCAUCUCUUCGGCGGAACCUUCGAAUUCACUGCCAAAUCGAGCACUGUUUCAUCGAUAAAUCCACCCUUUUGAGGACUUUUGGAUGUUGUUUACAUAUGGACGUGGAAAUUGUGAUCAUUCUUCGCAUGUAUGAUACCAUGGUGCUGUACAGUAUACACACACCCAGACUGUGGGAUCUGGUACGUCAAACUUGACCAGGCAUCGUAAAAUCCACAAUGACAGGAUGCACCAUCCACAGCGUCAACGUCAGCAGAUACCGUUGCUGCAGGGGAAUGAACUGUGGUGAGACUAGACUCUGGUGAACUGCAUCUCUGCGGAGCGGUAUAGGAUAUCGCCAUGCAUUCAAGUGCUGGAAAAUAACCAGAGAGCUGAAGAGGACAGUGCCAAUGACGACGAUGAGAGCAUCAUAGGUGAUAUGUCUGUCGCUGUGGACCUCAUCGACAGUACGAAUACCGAGGACUCUUGGAAGUGGAACGUCGAUACCAUGUUUCGAGUAGGCCCGAGACCUAAGCAAUUUCAUUCGGACCGAUGGAACAGUACGAUGUGAUGUUGUGCAACUAUUGCGUUUAAUGAUUGAAAUACGUUUUUCAUCGUGCUACUCAGCAUGGACCAGACGCGAGCCCUAUUUACGCUAUGUACCUGUAAUGGUGCUUUUCACUCUGCUUCAGGAAUCACACAGAUAUGCACAUGUGGACGAUGAAUUGUUGAUUGGAAAAAGACUGAACAUUUUUCUCAAUUGCCAUGCUUAUUUUGCAAAUUUGUCAUCAAUUACACAAUUUCUUACGGAAAGAAAGAACGCACUAAUCCAUGGCUCUACACAGUUGGGGGGGGGGGGGGUAUGCUUUAGUGGUUGCCCCACCCCCCUCCUUUUGUGUAUGGCCAUGAAUUUAUUUGAAUUAGUUUUGUACAGGUACAUACAUGAAUACAGAAAUCGAUUAUCAAAGAGUGACCGAAGCAAAGAUAUUUAAUUAAUUAAAAGAUGAGAACACUGAUGUAAAUAUUGCUUAUGAUUAUUG